GAUGAAGAACGCAGCGAAAUGCGAUAAGUAAUGUGAAUUGCAGAAUUCAGUGAAUCAUCUAAUCUUUGAACGCACAUUGCGCCCGCCAGCAUUCUGGCGGGCAUGCCUGUUCGAGCGUCAUUUCAACCCUCGAGCCCCCCCGGGGGCCUCGGUGUUGGGGGACGGCACACCAGCCGCCCCCGAAAUGCAGUGGCGACCCCGCCGCAGCCUCCCCUGCGUAGUAGCACACACCUCGCACCGGAGCGCGGAGGCGGUCACGCCGUAAAACGCCCAACUUUCUUAGAGUUGACCUCGGAUCAGGUAGGAAUACCCGCUGAACUUAAGCAUAUCAAUAAGCGGAGGA
RNAcentral lists this unclassified non-coding RNA (343 nucleotides) under soil metagenome. Its description in RNAcentral is "partial contains 5.8S ribosomal RNA, internal transcribed spacer 2, and large subunit ribosomal RNA". The stretch from base 1 to 120 matches the Rfam family "5.8S ribosomal RNA", at positions 35 to 154 of the family's 154-position model. The record is from RNAcentral.